CCUACGGGUGGCAGCAGUGAGGAAUAUUGGUCAAGGGGCGCGAGCCUGAACCAGCCAAGUAGCGUGAAGGAUGACUGCCCUACGGGUUGUAAACUUCUUUUAUAAAGGAAUAAAGUGAGGCACGUGUGCCUUUUUGUAUGUACUUUAUGAAUAAGGAUCGGCUAACUCCGUGCCAGCAGCCGAGGUAAUACGGAGGAUCCGAGCGUUAUCCGGAGUUAUUGGGUUUAAAGGGAGCGUAGAUGGGUUGUUAAGUCAGUUGUGAAAGUUUGCGGCUCAACCGUAAAAUUGCAAUUGUUACUGGCAGUCUUGAUUACAGUUGCGUUAGGCGGAUUUCGUGGUGUAGCGGUGAAAUGCUUUGCUAUCACGAAGAACUCCGAUUGCGAUGGCAGCUUACUAAACUGCCACUGACAUUGAUGCUCGACAGUGUGGGUAUCAAACAGGAUUAGAUACCCUGGUAGUC
RNAcentral lists this ribosomal RNA (460 nucleotides) under uncultured bacterium. RNAcentral's name for it is "partial 16S ribosomal RNA". It matches the Rfam family "Bacterial small subunit ribosomal RNA", at positions 338 to 795 of the family's 1533-position model. The record is from RNAcentral.